This 71-nucleotide transfer RNA is filed under the name Mus musculus (house mouse). Its description in RNAcentral is "tRNA-Ser". The record is from RNAcentral. Lineage: Eukaryota; Metazoa; Chordata; Mammalia; Rodentia; Muridae.
GGUGAGAUGGCUCAGUGGGUAAGAGCACCCGACUGCUCUUCUGAAGGUCCGGAGUUCAAAUCCCAGCACCC